This 206-nucleotide ribosomal RNA is filed under the name uncultured bacterium. Its description in RNAcentral is "partial 16S ribosomal RNA". It matches the Rfam family "Bacterial small subunit ribosomal RNA", at positions 568 to 774 of the family's 1533-position model. The record is from RNAcentral.
CUCGUAGGCGGUUUGUCGCGUCGGGAGUGAAAACACCGGGCUUAACUCGGUGCUGGCUUCCGAUACGGGCAGACUAGAGGUAUUCAGGGGAGAACGGAAUUCCUGGUGUAGCGGUGAAAUGCGCAGAUAUCAGGAGGAACACCGGUGGCGAAGGCGGUUCUCUGGAAUUACCUGACGCUGAGGAGCGAAAGUGUGGGGAGCGAACA